CGGUGAACAGAUUAUCACCUUGUUUCUGCUUAAAACUGACAUUAGAAUGAUUUAAGAGGUUUUACUUAGUCAUCUGAUGUUAAUAACAUUAUUUCCUUUGAUCAGUCGAGAGUCGGACUCAGAGAAUCAGACAGGAAUGAUGACUGGAUUGCUGUUUUAAGCAGAAA
Molecule: long non-coding RNA, 167 nt
Organism: Thalassophryne amazonica
Lineage: Eukaryota; Metazoa; Chordata; Actinopteri; Batrachoidiformes; Batrachoididae
Exons: 3
Source: RefSeq, a predicted model, not a curated record